GGAAGAAAUCAAGAAAUCGCUAACUUCUAACCCUGAGGCUAACCCCACAGCUUCCCC
This 57-nucleotide transfer RNA is filed under the name Pelusios sinuatus. RNAcentral describes it as "transfer RNA-Ser". The record is from RNAcentral. Lineage: Eukaryota; Metazoa; Chordata; Testudines; Pelomedusidae.